CUCAGCUGUGCUCGCCAUUUUUGGGUGCAUUUUUCCAACUCAAGCGUAAGCUGACAGAUGGCGGUGGAAUAAUAUUCUCACUUUCUCUACUUCCCACAGGCCUCCCUCCAACACAGUCCUCCAAGCUCUUAGAAAUCUCUGACGCAUCUCAACCAUGAGACCACGGCUGGCUUUUGGCAGGAUUCGAGGCACCAACCCAGCAGCCUCUAACUAGUGCAUGGUGGAGCCUCAAGAGAUACUGGCCAGGCCAGCUCUCCCUUCCAGAGGGCAGAGCAGAGCGUGAGAGGAAGGCCACUCAGCGGAAGUGGACAUGAAUGCUGGUUUCCAAAGAGAACAGUGUUUUAGUUUUGGUCAUCGAAAGUGGUGCCUUCAGCACAGCUGGGGACAGAGAUGUUGGUUGGUGGCUUGGUGUUGCAGAAACUCUCAUUGCCUGGAUGGGGCCCUCAUCAGUGGAGCCCGGGGGUUCUCCACCUGUCUUCUCUUGUGUGAGCCACGCCAGCGAUGCCGUGACCAGUAAAACCCUGUUGCUGAGGGGGAGCCCGUCUUCUAACAAGUCAGACUCGUCAGACGUAAAUGAAAAUAUCACAUAAAUAAUGGAACAGAUGGCAUGUGUUUCUGGCAAAACUUGAAAUGGUGGUCACCAAAUGGCACAGUGUUUCCCCAACAAGAGCUAAUGAUGUAAAGCGUGGGGCCCACCUGUAUCUACAUGUCAGCAGACCCAGCCCGGUCCUGGCCCUUGGGAGCCCCAGGAGUAUCAAAGGAAUGACUUCAUGGAUGUCUCCCCAUUGAAAACAGCAUGAGACAAAUUCCCUUCAGAUCUUAGCGCCAAGAAGAGCUGUGCUUUUUCUGAGCAACUGGCGUGUUUGUCAUCAGGACACUGAGAAUGUUCAGCUGUGUUGUCCUUUCCUCUCACUGCCAGGAAGCUGCACCCCAAGUCUGGGGCCUGGACUCAGCCACUGUGUGGGGCCUUCUCCCCUGCUUAUCCACGUUCUUCUAUCCCUCUGGUCUAGACCUUGUGUCUUCCAUUUCCCCCGGGUUGAUUUGUGAUUUUUAAUUAGUGCUCUGAUUUUGUUUUUGUAAACCUCAUCAGAUGCUCUGUGGAAUAAAGCAAGUUAAAAUUGCA
Molecule: long non-coding RNA, 1123 nt
Filed under: Ursus maritimus (polar bear)
Lineage: Eukaryota; Metazoa; Chordata; Mammalia; Carnivora; Ursidae
Description: lncRNA (ENSUMAG00000024391.1)
Source: RNAcentral